RNAcentral lists this long non-coding RNA (366 nucleotides) under Nicotiana benthamiana. Its description in RNAcentral is "long non-coding RNA (NBEN_LNC002231)". Lineage: Eukaryota; Viridiplantae; Streptophyta; Magnoliopsida; Solanales; Solanaceae. The record is from RNAcentral.
GAUCAUCUUCUAACCACCCCGGAUAAAGCGGUGCAUGCCCCACCUGGUACCUGUCUGGCUCCAUAGAUUUCUUUUCCAAAAUGAUUUUGGAGUGCCACAUAUGCUAAGCCCGACACCAGUGUGGGCUAUCGUCAUCCUGGAAAAUAGCCCUGUAGUGGCUCAUCUUUUCCACCCUUGGUAUAAUUUGCUUCCUUCCUGCUUGCCUCAUGACUCAGAGAGGGACAUAAGGGUAAGUUCCUCUUAAGCCGAUAAGUACAAGGAAUGGUGCAUCCCUAGACCAAAUGAUAAACUCUCUAGUUGGAAACCACUCGCACAUCCAUUGUACCUGCUCUUCUCUCAGAUUCACUAAUAGUUCCACCCAUCCAC